RNAcentral lists this ribosomal RNA (497 nucleotides) under uncultured bacterium. RNAcentral's name for it is "partial 16S ribosomal RNA". It matches the Rfam family "Bacterial small subunit ribosomal RNA", at positions 28 to 507 of the family's 1533-position model. The record is from RNAcentral.
GAUGAACGCUGGCGGCGUGCCUAAUACAUGCAAGUCGAGCGAACGGACGAGAAGCUUGCUUCUCUGAUGUUAGCGGCGGACGGGUGAGUAACACGUGGAUAACCUACCUAUAAGACUGGGAUAACUUCGGGAAACCGGAGCUAAUACCGGAUGAUAUUUUGAACCGCAUGGUUCAAAAGUGAAAGACGGUCUUGCUGUCACUUAUAGAUGGAUCCGCGCUGCAUUAGCUAGUUGGUAAGGUAACGGCUUACCAAGGCAACGAUGCAUAGCCGACCUGAGAGGGUGAUCGGCCACACUGGAACUGAGACACGGUCCAGACUCCUACGGGAGGCAGCAGUAGGGAAUCUUCCGCAAUGGGCGAAAGCCUGACGGAGCAACGCCGCGUGAGUGAUGAAGGUCUUCGGAUCGUAAAACUCUGUUAUUAGGGAAGAACAUAUGUGUAAGUAACUGUGCACAUCUUGAUGGUACCUAAUCAGAAAGCCACGGCUAACUACGUG